RNAcentral lists this ribosomal RNA (306 nucleotides) under uncultured bacterium. RNAcentral's name for it is "partial 16S ribosomal RNA". It matches the Rfam family "Bacterial small subunit ribosomal RNA", at positions 505 to 807 of the family's 1533-position model. The record is from RNAcentral.
GACAGCAGUAGCCACGGUAAUACGUAGGGUGCAAGCGUUAAUCGGAAUUACUGGGCGUAAAGCGUGCGCAGGCGGUUAUAUAAGACAGAUGUGAAAUCCCCGGGCUCAACCUGGGAACUGCAUUUGAGACUGUAUAGCUAGAGUACUGCAGAGGGGGAUGGAAUUCCGCGUGUAGCAGUGAAAUGCGUAGAUAUGCGGAGGAACACCGAUGGCGAAGGCAAUCCCCUGGGCAUGUACUGACGCUCAUGUACGAAAGCGUGGGGAGCAAACAGGAUUAGAUACCCCGGUAGUCCCUGUCUCUUAUAC